GUGAGGAAUAUUGGUCAAUGGGCGGGAGCCUGAACCAGCCAAGUCGCGUGAAGGAAGAAGGAUCUAUGGUUCGUAAACUUCUUUUGCAGGGGAAUAAAGUGCAGGACGUGUCCUGUUUUGUAUGUACCCUCAGAAUAAGGAUCGGCUAACUCCGUGCCAGCAGCCGCGGUAAUACGGAGGAUCCGAGCGUUAUCCGGAUUUAUUGGGUUUACAGGGUGCGUAGGUGGUUUGAUAAGUCAGCGGUGAAAGUUUGCAGCUUAACUGUAAAAAUGCCGUUGAAACUGUCGGACUUGAGUGUAAAUGAGGUAGGCGGAAUGCGUGGUGUAGCGGUGAAAUGCAUAGAUAUCACGCAGAACGCCGAUUGCUAAGGCAGCUUACUACGGGGUGUUUGACACUGAGGCACGAAAGCGUGGGGAGCAAACAGGAUUAGAAACCCCAGUAGUCC
RNAcentral lists this ribosomal RNA (445 nucleotides) under uncultured bacterium. RNAcentral describes it as "partial 16S ribosomal RNA". It matches the Rfam family "Bacterial small subunit ribosomal RNA", at positions 354 to 796 of the family's 1533-position model. The record is from RNAcentral.